This is a long non-coding RNA of Oncorhynchus kisutch (coho salmon), 2150 nucleotides long. RefSeq lists it as uncharacterized. The record is from RefSeq and is a predicted model, not a curated record. The transcript has 2 exons. NCBI's taxonomy places the organism in Eukaryota, Metazoa, Chordata, Actinopteri, Salmoniformes, Salmonidae.
UCAGAUUGGACUAAACUACUGCGCCCAGCCUUCGAGCACUCGGGAUCAAGAAAACGAAUCAUUGUUUAUAUGUUGUAACUAUGCAGUUGAGCUUCGGGGCAGUGUAUCAGUUAGUUAGUUUAGCCAUCCAUUACGGUUCAAGUGCAAAACAGCUCUUUGUUGUAUCUUUGAAAAACAGACAGCCAUGUGACAAGAGACCUAGUGGAGGACUGAACAUUGAAACGUGCAACAAAUCAUGGAGCACUAGAGAAAGGGAACGGCUGUUUAACCCCUUAAAUGUAAAGGCCCCAUAUUUGGGGAUCCUAUUAGACGUUAUUCAAUUCAGUCUGGUAUGAGAACGGUAGACCCUAUAGGCCGAGCCGAUGACCUCGUUUCAAGACGGCUGCUAUAUACAUUCCGGUUAGCGUUAUGAAGCGUAAACAAAAUAAACACGGAAUACAUUGAUACACACCGAAAUCCGGGACUCCACAGAGAAUGAGAAUGUAUUGUCCGUCUGCAUGUGACCUACCGUUAUUGAUCACCAGCCCUGAGAGUCAACAUUUGUAUUUUACGCAACGUUUUCACCAAACAUCUUACGAGAGUGGAUGAUGCAGAGGAUUUGGAUGACAACCUUUGGGAGCCACCCCUCCCCAGCGGUCAAGGUCUUCACCCCUCACUGCUAUGUCAAUCACCCGUCUGAUGGUUCUACAUCCACUUUUCAUAGACAUCUUGAAAAAGAAAAGAGAGGCUUGUGGCACCAUUCGUCCUAACAGAAUCGGUUUCCCCAAGACCAAGGUAAAAGACAUGACAAAGACAGCGUAGAGGGGGGACCAUACUUUGGAUCAGGACUAACAAGCUGCUUUUUGUGAAAUGGAAAGACACUAGUGAAGUAACCAUGCUCACCACACAGCAUAAGUCAUUCAAUAACAGCCAUGUCUCAAGGAUGGGGAAAAAGGAAGAAAGUCCCCAUUCCUGUUUCUGAGAAGGACUUACAAUGCCAGCAUGGGAGGGUGUCGACAUCUGAUGCUCUGAUAGGCUACUAUCAGGUCCUCCUCAAGACCAGGAAGUGGUAUAAGACUUUGUUUUUACCACUUUGUGGACAUUGCUACAGUAAAUGUUUUCAUUCUCCACAAGCAGAUGGCCAAAGAAAAAGGUCAAACCCCUCUCUCCCAGUUGGCCUUCCGAGAGCAGCUGGUGUUGGAAAUGGCUGAAUUAGGGGCCCAAAGCAACCUCACAACCAUCACAAGACCCCCUCCUGAAGGCGAGCACCACUAUCCAACACACAUGCCAAAAGGAAGAAAAGCAAGCAUUGCACAAACACAGGGUGGUGGUGGUGGGGGAAGGGUGAAAUGACAGUUCUUCUGUCCGAAAAGCCAGUUCGCUUUUUGUUUCCUGGCAGAGCGAGACCGCUUCAAAGACUGACACGACAUGCACAAGCUAUGGUGAAAGUGAAAUCUAAUCUAGACCUGGGAUGUAAAACUAACAAGAAUGCCAUUUUGAAAUAGUCACGUGUGUAACCAAGUUGUAUAUCUGUUGCUUUUAUAUUGUUUUUGUAAACAGCUCAUUUGUAUGUGGGACCAAUACAUUGGAUAUACCGAGCAUAAAUGUUCAGGCACUUUGGAGAGGUUGAAAAAAAAAAAACAAUAGGAUAUCCUCCUCGUAUGUCUCCCGACACCACCACAAUGUUUGAGAGAGGUUGGGUGUUGUAGAAAUGUAGUUUAUAGUGAACAAUAACUUUUAGGCACAUCCAGUGUGCAAAAACAGUGCAAUUGCCACAUUCGGACACUUUGGAGAGGUUGAAAGGACACUUGAAUGUACCCUGGAUACCCCAUAACACCACCACAAUGUUUGAGUGAAGUUGUCAUGGUAGAAAUCGUGUUUUUAUACGCAAUAAGGGAUUGAAAAUAUGUAAUACCACUGGAAUUAUCUAAUUUACAGACAUUUGCCACGUUGGAGAUGUUUAGGGACACUUGGAAACAUCCCGUGACCACACCUGACACCAUUUCUAGUUGUUAGGUCUAUCAAUCCCAUUUUUUUCUGAUUUUUCUGAUUUCACAUGUUAUGGAAGCCAUCUGAUGUGUUUCCAUCUCUGGGCAUCAAUAAUUCACUUUUCGCUUCUCAAUGAAAGAUUACAUUCAAAAUCAUAAAAAGGUUAUUUUGUGUGAACUUGA